UUGUAUCCAAUAAUGUUUUUGAUUGAUUCUCAAGAUUCAUGAUGAAUUAGCCUUAGAUAUUGCUUGAUCUGUAAUGUACGUAGAAAGAGCUUUCAUUUGGUAUAGAUAUUGCCUGAUUCUGGAAUUUUUUUUGCAUGAAGUUACUGUUCCUCCACCGUCUUCAUGAAGAAGACGGUGGUUUCCGCCUUGCCUCGCCGCCUGGAAUAGUGCCAGCAACAGUGCAUGCGCCUAGGGUUUUCAGAGAUGAAACGACGCCGUUUUGGUCCAAAUGCGCGACCUACUUCGAU
Molecule: long non-coding RNA, 287 nt
Filed under: Lathyrus oleraceus (garden pea)
Lineage: Eukaryota; Viridiplantae; Streptophyta; Magnoliopsida; Fabales; Fabaceae
Description: Pisum sativum (pea) long non-coding RNA (PSAT_LNC003437)
Source: RNAcentral